This 1017-nucleotide long non-coding RNA is filed under the name Zea mays. RNAcentral describes it as "long non-coding RNA (ZMAY_LNC003476)". Lineage: Eukaryota; Viridiplantae; Streptophyta; Magnoliopsida; Poales; Poaceae. The record is from RNAcentral.
CCCCCCUUCCCUCUUCCUUGCUUGGCCGCCCCCCUCUCUCCCUCUCCUCCCAUGUGUUUGCAGCCACACCACCUAACCCUAGCCCCCCCAUCUCCUCCUCUCCAAGGUGCCAUUCCUUGUCGCUUGGAUCUACGUCGCGUGGUGCAAGUCCCCAAUUGGUUUUGGUGGAGGGAAAAAGGGAGGAAGGAAAGGGGGAGAAUUUAAGGUGAUUUUUGUGAUUAUCUCUUGUUUAUUUGUGCUGCAAUUCCAUUGAAUAGAUGUUACGUAUGCGAAUUGGUAGAGGUGCUGUCCAGAAAUUUAGUGGGUGGGCGAACAGCAAGAGUUCUAGUGAUUUCUGGGAAUUUUUCAUGUGUAAUUAGUGGGGAUAAGUGGGAUAAUCAUGUAGAGCUUUGUCAUACCUUUACAACGAGUAUUUAUGCGCUCGAUUCGGAGUUACAUUUUGGUAGAUAUCGCUGUUUGAAUCCGGGUAUGUUGUUGUCCAAAAAAAACAGAUUUUGCAGGUGGGCAAACAGCAGUAGUAUUGACAGUUUCUGGGGAUUUUUCGUGGAUAAUUGGUGAUAAUCAGUGCGAUAAUCAUGUAGAGCUUUGUCAUACCUUUCCAACAAGUACUUAUGCGCUCGAUUCGGAGUUAUAUUUUGGUAGAUAUCGCUGUUUGAAUCCGGGUAUGUUGCGGUCCAAAAACAGAUUGCAGGGUUUAUCUUGUGAACUGUGUUGGGCUAAUUAGAUGUUGAAAUUUAAUUGUAAAUUGUAUACAAAACUGGUGGGAAAUUUUAUGUAGAUGCUUCCGGAGUUUUUGAUUGAUAUCACUACUGUUAUAAUUUUAAAGUUAUGAAAUUAUCAAGCAGCGUCGCUGCAAUUUGGUGCAGAUGGGGAGAGUUGUCGCUCGCGGCGGGUUGGAAUUGUGUGUAGGUGCGGCGUUGUUUAUUAGCGUUUGCUAUGUGAAUUUAUGCACUAAGGUGUGUGUCAAAAACAGGUGGUGGACUUCCGGAUCGUACUUAGUACCAUUCCAAAUUCCCG